RNAcentral lists this microRNA precursor (96 nucleotides) under Beta vulgaris subsp. vulgaris (sugar beet). Its description in RNAcentral is "pre miRNA mir-598". The record is from RNAcentral. Lineage: Eukaryota; Viridiplantae; Streptophyta; Magnoliopsida; Caryophyllales; Amaranthaceae.
CUACAACAGUAGUAUUGAUGAUGAUGAUGAUGAUGAUGAUGGUGAUGUUCGUCAUAAUAACCAUCAUCAUCAUCAUCAUCAAAAUUAUGCUUAUAA